UAAGAACAAAAAACACAAAAUGAAGUGAAUUGAAGUGCGAAAUCUAGUAAAUCUAAUAAAUUUAUGUUUUGAGACGCUACUGCUGUUAAAAACUGUUGUACUGUUAAAACAAAUACUGUAAAAAAUAUUGUUCUAAGAAAUUAGAUAAUUGUGUGGCAUUAUAAGUUGAAUAAAUGUUUUUGUUGAGAUUCGAUGGUCAAAUCUAUUUCAGUUUCGUGAAAAUUGGGGGGAGGGGGGAAAAAACUUCUUUCAAAAGAAUGGGAGAUCUCCAAACAAUUUUUUUCAAAAAGAAUGGGAAUCUUGCUUUUCCUAAAGACAGAUUACGUUAUUUUUCACCUGAUUUCACAUAGCCUAAAUUACAAAUGCAACCGAGCUGAGUUUAGGUUAUAUAUAAAAAAGAUAGCAAUUAAGGUUACAUAAGAAUUUACGAAAAUGAUGAAAAGCGGAUGAAGCUGAGGCUGAGCAAACAAUGUUGUGUGUACUUAGUUAGAGUUGUCCCAACAAAGAAGCAUAACAAUGCAAAGCCUGAUUAUGUAAACCUUUGCUCUCACUUGUCUCCCAAUCUUCUUCCACCUUGCAAAUCUCUCUGCUGACCUUCCUCCCAUGCCUCCUCUGUCAUGCAAGCCGACACCCUCCUUAUCCUCAACUACAACUAUCUGUGAUAUGUCUAUACACUGUACUCUUGUACCAAACUGCUCAUUCAUCACUCAUAUACAACAGGUUUAGAUAUAUAUGUGCACAUUAAUAGAUUGUUGUGACCAGCCGUAUCAGAUCACAAGUGACUUAUGGUACCUGUGGCGUAGGGUCCAGAUUUAUGUACUCUCACUAAGCACCAAGUCACCUACUAACUAAACGCGUACUCUAUGGUGCAAAUUACUCAAUCACCUUGCGGCCUUUCA
This 899-nucleotide long non-coding RNA is filed under the name Daucus carota (carrot). Its description in RNAcentral is "long non-coding RNA (DCAR_LNC000518)". Lineage: Eukaryota; Viridiplantae; Streptophyta; Magnoliopsida; Apiales; Apiaceae. The record is from RNAcentral.